GAAUGUGGUUUGCCGUGAGUGUUAUACCCCAUGAUGGCCCGGGUUGCCCAUGGGCCUGCGCGUCUGUACGGGAUGCACAUGGGCAGCAUGGUGGAUGCCCAUUGGGUGGCACCCGGAUUUACUGUUGCAAUCUCUCGCCUAACCAUGACCAUGUUUUCCAAAUCUGACCUGAUCACUAAAACCACCCAGCUACACAAACUGCUGAGAGACAGGAGAGAUGUUAAAACCACUCUUAAUGCAGAUUGUAACCCUGAAAUCACUCUCUUAUCUAAAGCCGAAUACUCUGCCCUAGCAUACACCUUGGUAGGAGUCCCAGGCUUAGCACUGUAUAAUACCCGAGUAGUUAAUGCUGUAACCUGUUCCCUUGCAAAAGGUUUAAAUGCCACUUCACACACCCUAGAAGAGCUACUUAUGGACAACCAGGCAAAUAAGAAUAGAGCAGCCAUUGACUACUUACUAAUGAAACAUGACUUAGGCUGUGAAGCUAUUGUAGUAUGUGCUGUUUUAACCUAUCUGACCAUGGCACUAUGAUCCAUAAACAUAUAAAAGAUUUACAUGACUUAGUACCGGAUAUCAAACAGGAUACUGGCUUCUUUGGGGAUUGGGAUUGGACAUUUGGGUUAGGAACAUGGUUGACUUUACUUAAGAAUAUUUUGUACUUUUUGCUAUUAGCUGUAUUUGUCAUUAUGGCCAUUUUUCUAACCUUUAGAUUUUUUUCAUGUGUAUUAACCUCUCUAUGUAAAAGCAAACCUACUGUUGGUCGUACCUUAACUUACAUUCCAGCUCCGACUUCGGAAAGGUUUUAUGAUGUUACCUCGCCUAACAAAUGAAGGAACUCUCCUCCGCUGAUUCUGGUGGUCUCUCAGACCGAAGGGAACCGUGGUGAAGCAAUAAAUGAAAGUCCCACAGGCUUUGGCUAGCAGGCCUGAAAAUACCUUGGACAUUUGGGUGACCCUUGGAUCAAAAGAGGGGAUUGUGAUAGAAUUUAUCUUGAUUCCAAGGUUCAAGCUUAUAGGUGUCAUAUAAUGAUAUCCUAUAUUAAAAUUGGCUAACUUGGACUCAGGAAAUGCUUGAUGCUUAAAAAACACUUAAGACCAGAUAUGUCUAGUUCCGGGAGCAGAGAGCCCCCACCUAAGAUGUCUCUUCUCUAAUCUUUUUGCUCUUUCUUACCUUGGAACUUAUUUGUUAUGUGUACAUGACGUUCAUCCCUAUGUAUUAUCUGUACUCCCUUCCUAUUACUGUUCUAUGAGUAUUUGCACGUAAGCACUUACUUUUUAAUGUAUAAAACCCAGCUGAUGAAUAAAACGUCAGAGGCUUAUUUUGAAUACCAA
Non-coding RNA from Pelobates cultripes (western spadefoot toad), 1331 nucleotides. The record is from the annotation of a GenBank genome assembly. Lineage: Eukaryota; Metazoa; Chordata; Amphibia; Anura; Pelobatidae.